ACGGAGGGUGCAAGCGUUAAUCGGAAUUACUGGGCGUAAAGCGCGCGUAGGUGGUUAGGUCAGUCAGAUGUGAAAGCCCCGGGCUCAACCUGGGAAUUGCACCUGAUACUGCCUAGCUAGAGUACAGUAGAGGGGUGUGGAAUUUCCUGUGUAGCGGUGAAAUGCGUAGAUAUAGGAAGGAACACCAGUGGCGAAGGCGACACCCUGGACUGAUACUGACACUGAGGUGCGAAAGCGUGGGGAGCAAACAGG
This 252-nucleotide ribosomal RNA is filed under the name uncultured bacterium. RNAcentral describes it as "partial 16S ribosomal RNA". It matches the Rfam family "Bacterial small subunit ribosomal RNA", at positions 525 to 776 of the family's 1533-position model. The record is from RNAcentral.